AUGGCGCCCAUCGUGAAGUUCGUCGUCGCCGCCGCCCUGAUAGUGCUCGCGGCCGUCGCUGGCCCCGGAGGCGUCGGCGUCGCCUCGGCCACCACCGGCGCUGCUGGCCCCGCGGCUGCGCCAUCGCCGGCCCCACUCGUCGCUCCCCUCCACCUCGCGCUCUCGGGCAUGGCGGCGGAGCAGCAGGGCGGCGGGUGGAUGAUGGAGUGCUGGGGCGCGAUCGUGCUCUUCUUCCUCAACGGCGAGUCCUACCUGGGCCGCGACUGCUGCAUCGCCAUCCGCACCAUCACGCUCCACUGCUGGCCCUCCAUGCUCGCCUCCAUAGGCUUGACCGCCCACGAGGCCGACAUCCUCCGUGGCUUCUGCGACGCCGAGAUCCCACACGCUCCUCCCCCGCCAGCGCCGGCCGUCGUGCCGGCGCCUGCUGCGCAACCAUGA
Molecule: ribosomal RNA, 438 nt
Filed under: Triticum aestivum (bread wheat)
Lineage: Eukaryota; Viridiplantae; Streptophyta; Magnoliopsida; Poales; Poaceae
Description: partial small subunit ribosomal RNA
Source: RNAcentral